CAUGGUGGGUGUUGGAAAGAUUUAUCGGUGGGGGAUGGACUCGCGGCCUAUCAGUUUGUUGGUGAGGUAAUGGCUCACCAAGGCGAUGACGGGUAGCCGGCCUGAGAGGGCGACCGGCCACACUGGGACUGAGACACGGCCCAGACUCCUACGGGAGGCAGCAGUGGGGAAUAUUGCACAAUGGGCGCAAGCCUGAUGCAGCGACGCCGCGUGAGGGAUGACGGCCUUCGGGUUGUAAACCUCUUUCAGUAGGGAAGAAGCGAGAGUGACGGUACCUGCAGAAGAAGCGCCGGCUAACUACGUGCCAGCAGCCGCGGUAAUACGUAGGGCGCAAGCGUUGUCCGGAAUUAUUGGGCGUAAAGAGCUUGUAGGUGGCUUGUCGCGUCUGCCGUGAAAACCCGAGGCUCAACCUCGGGCGUGCGGUGGGUACGGGCAGGCUAGAGUGUGGUAGGGGAGACUGGAACUCCUGGUGUAGCGGUGAAAUGCGCAGAUAUCAGGAAGAACACCGAUGGCGAAGGCAGGUCUCUGGGCCAUUACUGACACUGAGAAGCGAAAGCAUG
This 560-nucleotide ribosomal RNA is filed under the name Brachybacterium sp. NH89-23. Its description in RNAcentral is "bacterial SSU rRNA". It matches the Rfam family "Bacterial small subunit ribosomal RNA", at positions 188 to 763 of the family's 1533-position model. The record is from RNAcentral. Lineage: Bacteria; Bacillati; Actinomycetota; Actinomycetes; Micrococcales; Dermabacteraceae.